UCCAGACUCCUACGGGAGGCAGCAGUGGGGAAUAUUGGGCAAUGGGCGCAAGCCUGACCCAGCAACGCCGCGUGAAGGAAGAAGGCUUUCGGGUUGUAAACUUCUUUUAAGAGGGAAGAGUAGAAGACGGUACCUCUUGAAUAAGCCACGGCUAACUACGUGCCAGCAGCCGCGGUAAUACGUAGGUGGCAAGCGUUGUCCGGAUUUACUGGGUGUAAAGGGCGUGUAGCCGGGCCGGCAAGUCAGAUGUGAAAUCCCAAGGCUCAACCUUGGAACUGCAUUUGAAACUGUUGGUCUUGAGUAUCGGAGAGGCAGGCGGAAUUCCUAGUGUAGCGGUGAAAUGCGUAGAUAUUAGGAGGAACACCAGUGGCGAAGGCGACUUUCUGGACUGUACCUGACGCUGAGGCGCGAAAGCGUGGGUAGCGAACGGGAUUAGAUACCCCAGUAA
This 448-nucleotide ribosomal RNA is filed under the name uncultured bacterium. RNAcentral describes it as "bacterial SSU rRNA". It matches the Rfam family "Bacterial small subunit ribosomal RNA", at positions 330 to 793 of the family's 1533-position model. The record is from RNAcentral.